RNAcentral lists this ribosomal RNA (503 nucleotides) under uncultured bacterium. RNAcentral describes it as "bacterial SSU rRNA". It matches the Rfam family "Bacterial small subunit ribosomal RNA", at positions 8 to 507 of the family's 1533-position model. The record is from RNAcentral.
AGAGUUUGAUCAUGGCUCAGAUUGAACGCUGGCGGCAUGCCUUACACAUGCAAGUCGAACGGUAACGCGGGGGCAACCUGGCGACGAGUGGCGAACGGGUGAGUAAUGUAUCGGAACGUGCCCAGUAGUGGGGGAUAGCCCGGCGAAAGCCGGAUUAAUACCGCAUACGACCUACGGGUGAAAGGGGGGGAUCGCAAGACCUCUCGCUAUUGGAGCGGCCGAUAUCAGAUUAGCUAGUUGGUGGGGUAAAGGCCCACCAAGGCAACGAUCUGUAGCUGGUCUGAGAGGACGACCAGCCACACUGGGACUGAGACACGGCCCAGACUCCUACGGGAGGCAGCAGUGGGGAAUUUUGGACAAUGGGCGGAAGCCUGAUCCAGCCAUGCCGCGUGAGUGAAGAAGGCCUUCGGGUUGUAAAGCUCUUUCGGCGGGGAAGAAAUUGCUUGGGUUAAUACCCUGAGUAGAUGACGGUACCCGAAUAAGAAGCACCGGCUAACUACGUG